Molecule: long non-coding RNA, 740 nt
Organism: Diabrotica virgifera virgifera (western corn rootworm)
Lineage: Eukaryota; Metazoa; Arthropoda; Insecta; Coleoptera; Chrysomelidae
Exons: 2
Source: RefSeq, a predicted model, not a curated record
UUUGUAUGAAUAGUAGUUUGUUAUUCUUGUAUUAUACUGGAGAUAAAUAUUUAAAAAUGGAAAAUUGCUUUUUAUAAUGUAUUUGGUGAAGAAGUACUUAAUAAAUAAUAAUAAAAGAGCUGAUUUCAGAUUACAACAUAAACACAAAGUAAAUAAUUGACCUGAAAGUAAAUAACUACAAUUACCAUUUCAAAGGAAGUAGGUACCUAACUAAGUACCUAGAAAUGUUAUUGAAAAAGUGUUGGAAGUCAAAGAUGUUUGUCAAAGCAAUUAAAUCCUAUUAAUGCAGGUAAAAUUAUUUAAAGUUAUUGUGGAACAAAACGUACCAAAUGAUUACAAAGGUAAAGUUUCAGAAGGUUUAUAACCAGAUGCAGAUUAACCUUAAUGUUAUUGAAAAUAGACCAUUUGACCAAAAUUAGUGUCGAAGGGGAGAAGAAAAAAUAAGAUAUGCAUUUUUUCAGCAAUAUUUUAAUGUAUACCUUUAUAAAUAAAAAUGUUUAAUUGGAAAAUAUGAGUUUUACUAAAAAAUAAUUAAAUAUAAUAAAUAUUAUUUUCUAGGAAACUGUCAUUUUCUUCUUCUUCUUAAGGUUUUUGGCCUCUAACAGUCAGUUUUCGGUCAAUUUCUAGGUUAAAAGUAGUUCAAAACGAUCAACGUGCGACGUUGCCGUAUUUGUUCCAAAACCUUUUAGAGGAUUCCUCUAAAAUAAUAUUAUUUUAGCGGUCCUCUAUAAUAUGUGUUU